GCAAACUUGGUCAUUUAGAGGAAGUAAAAGUCGUAACAAGGUUUCCGUAGGUGAACCUGCGGAAGGAUCAUUAUUGAAUAAAUCUGACAUGGUUGUAGCUGGCUCUUCGGGGCAUGUGCUCGCCUGUCACCUUUAUCUUUCCACCUGUGCACACACUGUAGUCCUGGAUACCUCUCGCCGCAAGGCGGAUGCAGAGACUGCUGUUCAGCCUCCGAAAGGGGGAGGUCGGCUAUCUCUGAAUUUCCAGGUCUACGAUUAUCACAUACCCCAAUUGAAUGUUACAGAAUGUUAUCAAAGGGCCUUGUGCCUAUAAACCUAUACAACUUUCAGCAACGGAUCUCUUGGCUCUCGCAUCGAUGAAGAACGCAGC
Molecule: unclassified non-coding RNA, 370 nt
Filed under: uncultured fungus
Lineage: Eukaryota; Fungi
Description: partial contains small subunit ribosomal RNA, internal transcribed spacer 1, and 5.8S ribosomal RNA
Rfam family: Eukaryotic small subunit ribosomal RNA (bases 1-73)
Source: RNAcentral